Molecule: ribosomal RNA, 980 nt
Filed under: Porphyromonas endodontalis
Lineage: Bacteria; Pseudomonadati; Bacteroidota; Bacteroidia; Bacteroidales; Porphyromonadaceae
Description: bacterial SSU rRNA
Rfam family: Bacterial small subunit ribosomal RNA
Source: RNAcentral
GAUGAACGCUAGCGAUAGGCUUAACACAUGCAAGUCGAGGGGCAGCAUUAUUUUAGCUUGCUAAGAUAGAUGGCGACCGGCGCACGGGUGCGUAACGCGUAUGCAACCUGCCUGUAAUUAGGGAAUAACCCGGUGAAAGUCGGACUAAUACCCUAUAUUCUUCUUUUUCCGCAUGGAGAAGGACGGAAAGAUUUAUUGAUUACAGAUGGGCAUGCGUCCCAUUAGCUCGUUGGUAAGGUAACGGCUUACCAAGGCAACGAUGGGUAGGGGGACUGAGAGGUUGACCCCCCACACUGGUACUGAGACACGGACCAGACUCCUACGGGAGGCAGCAGUGAGGAAUAUUGGUCAAUGGGCGAGAGCCUGAACCAGCCAAGUCGCGUGAAGGACGACGGUUCUAUGGAUUGUAAACUUCUUUUGUAGAGGAAUAAUGGCAGCUACGUGUAGCUGAGAUGCAUGUACUCUACGAAUAAGUAUCGGCUAACUCCGUGCCAGCAGCCGCGGUAAUACGGAGGAUACGAGCGUUAUCCGGAAUUAUUGGGUUUAAAGGGUGCGUAGGUGGCGUAUUAAGUCAGUGGUGAAAAGCUGCAGCUCAACUGUAGUCUUGCCGUUGAAACUGAUAUGCUAGAGAGGAGACGAGGUAUGCGGAAUGUGUGGUGUAGCGGUGAAAUGCAUAGAUAUCACACAGAACGCCGAUUGCGAAGGCAGCGUACCAGGCUCCGUCUGACACUGAAGCACGAAAGCGUGGGGAUCAAACAGGAUUAGAUACCCUGGUAGUCCACGCAGUAAACGAUGAAUACUAGAUUUUUGCGAUAUAGUGUAAGAGUCUAAGCGAAAGCGAUAAGUAUUCCACCUGGGGAGUACGCCGGCAACGGUGAAACUCAAAGGAAUUGACGGGGGCCCGCACAAGCGGAGGAACAUGUGGUUUAAUUCGAUGAUACGCGAGGAACCUUACCCGGGAUUGAAAUUUAAAUGGCGGC